This 315-nucleotide ribosomal RNA is filed under the name uncultured bacterium. Its description in RNAcentral is "bacterial SSU rRNA". It matches the Rfam family "Bacterial small subunit ribosomal RNA", at positions 28 to 334 of the family's 1533-position model. The record is from RNAcentral.
GAUGAACGCUAGCUACAGGCUUAACACAUGCAAGUCGAGGGGCAGCAUGGUCUUAGCUUGCUAAGGCCGAUGGCGACCGGCGCACGGGUGAGUAACGCGUGGAUAACCUGCCUCAUACAGGGGGAUAACAGUUAGAAAUGACUGCUAAUACCGCAUAAGACCACAGCACCGCAUGGUGCAGGGGUAAAAACUCCGGUGGUAUGAGAUGGAUCCGCGUCUGAUUAGCUAGUUGGUAAGGUAACGGCUUACCAAGGCAACGAUCAGUAGCUGGUUUGAGAGGACGACCAGCCACACUGGGACUGAGACACGGCCCAG